RNAcentral lists this long non-coding RNA (424 nucleotides) under Androctonus crassicauda. The record is from RNAcentral. Lineage: Eukaryota; Metazoa; Arthropoda; Arachnida; Scorpiones; Buthidae.
UCUUGAUUUUUUAAUGUGGGCUAGUUUGGCCUUUCUCUUCAGGAUGGUCAUGUCUAUGUCACAGGCCUCCAACAUGUUUGUAGUUCUUUGGAGUCCUAAUCGCCGUAAUUGGUUUAGGUUCAUGGUUCUGGCUUCUUUUAGAUUAUACAUUCUUCUCCUGGCGUCUGUUAUUGCUAUUCUUAGGCAGAUCCUCCUGGUGUUCUGUAACGCUUUGUAAGAUUUAACCGGCAACUUAAUAUUCAGGAUCGAUUUGGGGUAGACUCCAUUUAGUUUACACUGUGCAAGGAACUCCCAUGUAGCUUCUGCUUUGAUAAACUUAGCUGAAAUAGUUCUAUAGACUUUAAUGUACUGCAAGGUAACAUCAGUAGCUGGCUCUGCUACGCAUUCCAUAACGAUACUCAAACUCCACUGCUCUAGGCAGGAU